RNAcentral lists this ribosomal RNA (253 nucleotides) under uncultured bacterium. RNAcentral describes it as "partial 16S ribosomal RNA". It matches the Rfam family "Bacterial small subunit ribosomal RNA", at positions 524 to 776 of the family's 1533-position model. The record is from RNAcentral.
UACGAAGGGGGCUAGCGUUGCUCGGAAUUACUAGGCGUAAAGCGCACGUAGGCGGUCUUUUAAGUCGGGGGUGAAAUCCUGGAGCUCAACUCCAGAACUGCCUUCGAUACUGGAAGACUUGAGUCCGGGAGAGGUGAGUGGAACUGCGAGUGUAGAGGUGAAAUUCGUAGAUAUUCGCAAGAACACCAGUGGCGAAGGCGGCUCACUGGCCCGGUACUGACGCUGAGGUGCGAAAGCGUGGGGAGCAAACAGG